This 253-nucleotide ribosomal RNA is filed under the name uncultured bacterium. Its description in RNAcentral is "partial 16S ribosomal RNA". It matches the Rfam family "Bacterial small subunit ribosomal RNA", at positions 524 to 776 of the family's 1533-position model. The record is from RNAcentral.
UACGAAGGGGGCUAGCGUUGUUCGGAAUUACUGGGCGUAAAGCGCGCGCAGGCGGCCUUCCAAGUCAGUGGUGAAAGCCCGGAGCUCAACUCCGGAACUGCCAUUGAAACUGUAAGACUUGAGGAUGAGAGAGGUGAGUGGAACUGCGAGUGUAGAGGUGAAAUUCGUAGAUAUUCGCAAGAACACCAGUGGCGAAGGCGGCUCACUGGCCCGGUACUGACGCUGAGGUGCGAAAGCGUGGGGAGCAAACAGG